Molecule: ribosomal RNA, 324 nt
Filed under: uncultured Haliangium sp.
Lineage: Bacteria; Pseudomonadati; Myxococcota; Haliangiales; Kofleriaceae
Description: bacterial SSU rRNA
Rfam family: Bacterial small subunit ribosomal RNA
Source: RNAcentral
AGCGAACGUUAGCGGCGGGCUUAACACAUGCAAGUCGAGCGCGAAAGGUGACUUCGGUUGCCGAGUAGAGCGGCGGACGGGUGAGUAACACGUGGAUAACCUACCUUUUAGUUGGGGACAACCACUCGAAAGGGUGGCUAAUACCGAAUAAGUCAUCAUAGACUGCGGUCAUUGAUGGGAAAGCUGGCCAAUACUUGUAAGCUGGCGCUGAAAGAGGGGUCCGCGUCGCAUCAGCUAGUUGGUGAGGUAAUGGCUCACCAAGGCAUAGACGCGUAGCUGGUCUGAGAGGAUGAUCAGCCACACUGGGACUGAGACACGGCCCAG